GAAUAAAAAACACGGUCUGGUUGGUAGUCCAGGCGCGGCUAAAAGGCCGUCAGUAACCUGCCUCCUUGGUUGUCCCUAUUUUGUUAGU
RNAcentral lists this non-coding RNA (88 nucleotides) under Levilactobacillus brevis. RNAcentral's name for it is "yjdF RNA". The stretch from base 2 to 80 matches the Rfam family "azaaromatic riboswitch aptamer (yjdF RNA)", at positions 9 to 88 of the family's 101-position model. Lineage: Bacteria; Bacillati; Bacillota; Bacilli; Lactobacillales; Lactobacillaceae. The record is from RNAcentral.